GCCCGGUCCCCAGUGCAGCUCGCUCCGGCCGGCACCCACCGCCCCACCACAGGCCUGCUGGCUCCAGGGUCCCCACGCUGGCCGGCUGGUCCAGAAGGCGCUGCCGCGACCGCUGCAGGAAUGAGCAGGUGAGCCGGGGAGCGAAGCGGCCAGAGAGUACGCACAGCGCAGAGGCCCAGAGACUCCAGCGCGGACACCAUGCGGCGUCCCCACGAGCGACCCAGCCUCCCGCAGUCAGGCACAUUUAGAUUUCCAGCCUUGGUUCCCCAGGCCGCUCGCGGAGCCCGGAGACCAGACAGCCAGCACUGGAUAUAUGCAGGGAAUCAUACUCCCAGGAUAUGGCCCCGAUAUGCAUCUGAAGGGUCUGGUGACAGCGGUUUUACUAAACAGUAGUACACGAUCCCGCCCCAACAGCUGCCCCCCAGGGUCCCCAAGGUCCUGGAAACCUUGCUUCCAGCGCUCCUUACAGCCUCGCUCUGUCCCUGACCCCCUCCCAACCCGAAGGUAUGUAAUCAGUCACCGGUCACAACCCCAGGGCAGCCCUUCCUGCCCACGGGUCCUGUCCCUGUGCUUUAAUGAAAUCACCUUUUUACACC
This is a long non-coding RNA of Hyaena hyaena (striped hyena), 596 nucleotides long. RefSeq lists it as uncharacterized. The transcript is spliced from 2 exons. The record is from RefSeq and is a predicted model, not a curated record. Lineage: Eukaryota; Metazoa; Chordata; Mammalia; Carnivora; Hyaenidae.